Molecule: long non-coding RNA, 235 nt
Filed under: Elaeis guineensis (African oil palm)
Lineage: Eukaryota; Viridiplantae; Streptophyta; Magnoliopsida; Arecales; Arecaceae
Description: long non-coding RNA (EGUI_LNC028107)
Source: RNAcentral
CAGUGUAGAGAUACUGAGCGAUGAAUGCGGGUAGUUGUUAGAGAAUAACUAGUACUGACUGUGACCAUACGAGAGAUCACUUGGAUUUCUACUCAAUUAUCAGUGAUCGUCUCGAUGCUAUAGUUGUGUGAAUAAUCUUUUGAUCUGUAAUGGUACGACUGCUCGUAGUGAGGCUACUGGAGUUUGACUGACAUAUAAAUAUGGCCUUGAUGAGAUCUUGUAGUAGAUGUUGGCG